This 400-nucleotide ribosomal RNA is filed under the name uncultured bacterium. Its description in RNAcentral is "bacterial SSU rRNA". It matches the Rfam family "Bacterial small subunit ribosomal RNA", at positions 355 to 770 of the family's 1533-position model. The record is from RNAcentral.
UUGGGAAUCUUGCACAAUGGGGGAAACCCUGAUGCAGCGACGCCGCGUGGAGGACGAAGGAUCUAGGUCUGUAAACUCCUUUUGCACGGAAAGACUUAGGACGGUACCGUGUGAAUAAGCCCCGGCUAACUACGUGCCAGCAGCCGCGGUAAGACGUAGGGGGCGAGCGUUGUCCGGAUUUACUGGGCGUAAAGAGCGCGUAGGCGGCUUGUUAAGUGUGAAGUGAAAUCUCCAGAGCUCAACUCGGAAACUGCUUCGCAUACUGGCAAGCUAGAGGAAUGCAGAGGUAAGUGGAAUUCCUGGUGUAGCGGUGAAAUGCGUAGAUAUCAGGAGGAACACCCAUGGCGAAGGCAGCUUACUGGGCAUUAACUGACGCUGAGGCGCGAAAGCGUGGGUAGCA